AACGAACGCUGGCGGCAUGCCUAACACAUGCAAGUCGAACGAGACCUUCGGGUCUAGUGGCGCACGGGUGCGUAACGCGUGGGAACCUGCCCUUAGGUUCGGAAUAACUCCCCGAAAGGGGUGCUAAUACCGGAUAAUGUCUUCGGACCAAAGAUUUAUCGCCUUUGGAUGGGCCCGCGUUGGAUUAGCUAGUUGGUAGGGUAAAAGCCUACCAAGGCGACGAUCCAUAGCUGGUCUGAGAGGAUGAUCAGCCACACUGGGACUGAGACACGGCCCAGACUCCUACGGGAGGCAGCAGUGGGGAAUCUUGGACAAUGGGCGAAAGCCUGAUCCAGCAAUGCCGCGUGAGUGAUGAAGGCCUUAGGGUUGUAAAGCUCUUUUACCCGGGAUGAUAAUGACAGAACCGGGAGAAUAAGCUCCGGCUAACUCCGU
This 432-nucleotide ribosomal RNA is filed under the name uncultured bacterium. Its description in RNAcentral is "partial 16S ribosomal RNA". It matches the Rfam family "Bacterial small subunit ribosomal RNA", at positions 29 to 506 of the family's 1533-position model. The record is from RNAcentral.